This 211-nucleotide ribosomal RNA is filed under the name uncultured bacterium. RNAcentral's name for it is "partial 16S ribosomal RNA". It matches the Rfam family "Bacterial small subunit ribosomal RNA", at positions 524 to 733 of the family's 1533-position model. The record is from RNAcentral.
UACGAAGGGGGCUAGCGUUGCUCGGAAUCACUGGGCGUAAAGCGCACGUAGGCGGCUUUCUAAGUCAGGGGUGAAAUCCUGGAGCUCAACUCCAGAACUGCCUUUGAUACUGGAGACUUGAGUUCCGGGAAGAGGUGAGUGGAACUGCGAGUGUAGAGGUGAAAUUCGUAGAUAUUCGCAAGAACACCAGUGGCGAAGGCGGCUCACUGGC